Molecule: long non-coding RNA, 1281 nt
Filed under: Neogobius melanostomus (round goby)
Lineage: Eukaryota; Metazoa; Chordata; Actinopteri; Gobiiformes; Gobiidae
Description: lncRNA (ENSNMLG00000007349.1)
Source: RNAcentral
UGAAUUCAGCCGAGUGAAUUUGCAUUUGCAACCCUGCGCUCUGGUUUACAGGGUGUGCUGGAGGAGCUGAGCCGGCGCCCUGCCUCUCCGUGGGGGCUGUACCUGAGGGUGGGGGCCCCUGAGCUCCUGGGGGCCUCUCUCUCCUCUCUGCUGAGGUCCUACAGCUCAGAGCAGCUCUACAGACCGGUGUGGGUCGGUAUGGGCGCACGCAGCACCUACAGCGCACAGGAUUUUGUCUCCGUGGUGGAGCAGGUCUUUCCUCACUGCACUGUGGUCCUGAAUGAGGCGUCCGCUGCCCAGAGACUGUCCCCAAGUCUGUCCAGAGACUGGCUGUGCACCUGAGCGGCAGAGAGGCGCUCCAGACUGCUCUGACAGAAAUGGAAACAUUUGACCUCAUCCUGGAGACGGAGACGUUUAAUACACCGGUGGGACGGCAGAGGGACAGCACUGGACCAAAUAUAUAUGUCUUACCUCAACAGUCAGAACCGCAGAGAGAGAGUUAACGUGUAUGCCUAUUUAUAUGAAAAUGAUGUAAAUAUAUAUAAGUGAAAUGAUCAUGUUGUAAAAAUGCAAUUAUGGAGUAAAGUCAAUUCACAUGUGUGAACACCAGUCCUGGACGCCACUUUGUUUUUGAAUCUGUUAAUGAACACAAAACACUCAGAAAAGCUGCUUCAUCCUUAAAUAAUAAAAAUACUGUACAGUAUUUACAGCCCGUAUUCCACUAUUGGAUUGAGGCUCUGUGCUCAAAGUGCGUUCAUCAUGGCCCCAUGGAGUUACUAACAUCUCUGUGUCAUUCCCACUGCUGCCUGCAGAGGGAGCAAACUCCUCACCAGACCUGGCCCCUGUGUCACUGUCUUAAAUUUCAAUAUUUCAGAUGAUAAACGUAAAAGGUCAAUGCUGGGGUACUCAAGGAACAUUUAAAGUCUCGGUUAUGUAAGAUAUGACCUGUUCAAAUAUGAUCCGGACCAAGAUCUAAGUUCUACUGUGACUGAGCAGACUUGGGAUGAGCCUGUUUUAUGGAACCGAAAUGACAACAAUAAAAGACAAGUAAACCCAUCUUAUGGAGAGGAAACGCCUUCUGUUUUAGACUUGGUUUAGUCCUGAUAUGUCCGGAGCGUUUUUAGUGCGUUUGUUGGGAUCUGCUCACAGCUCAUCAUUACCUGAUAUGUUCUGCAUUGCUCUAAUCACACAUGCAAAUUUGUAAUGCUGCUCUCAAAGGCGGUGGACAGAAGACUCUCAAAUUGAGUUUAAUUCAGAACGAACUUUGUCGGCCUUCAAAAC